This 1278-nucleotide long non-coding RNA is filed under the name Cricetulus griseus (Chinese hamster). RNAcentral's name for it is "lncRNA (ENSCGRG00015037676.1)". The record is from RNAcentral. Lineage: Eukaryota; Metazoa; Chordata; Mammalia; Rodentia; Cricetidae.
GGAAUGGACAGAGUUCGGGGGGGGGGGUGUCUAUGUCUAUCACCCAUAUGACUUGAUCACUUUAAAUCUGUCCACAGCCACCUUUGCUGUACCCUCCAUGCUGCUCUUUGAUUCAGUCAUACAUUGUGUUUUGUUUGCUAUUUCUGCUGCACCACCCGUUCCAGCCACGGCCUUUCCCCAUCACUGCAUUAGAUUUCCCCCCAUCUCUUUCCUUCCUGUUCUUUCCAAUCCUUUUUUUUUCUGUUUGUCUUUUUCUAAUCUGUCACAUUUAUUUCCCUGGAGUCAAUUUGCUAAAAUUAAGGUGAUCAUCUACAGCACAGCAGGAGUAAUUUGGGCUCGCAUCUCUGAAAAUUGCUCUAAUUAUUGAUGUUAAACUCAGGGAAAUUAAAAGAAGCCACUUCUCUUCCAUCUCCCAAUUUUUAAGCUCUAAUUUGUUGAUAUCUAGUCGUCAUCACAAUUCCAAUCACUACUGCUAAUAGCAAAAGUGUCUUAACGGAGACUGAGUCCUCACAACCCAUGCUAUUAGAUAAUUAGAGGAGGUGCUGUGAAGUCAAGUGUUAAUCCUUGGGCACUGCAGUAGGAUUUCCAUCUGAUCUAGCAGGUAGAACAAAUUAAUUACCAGAAUCAAUUAGGCACCAAACUUCAGUGCUUCAGGAAGUGGAAGUGUCCUAUUCCACAUGGACACACGGGUAAGCAGAUAGGAGAGGAAGCAGAAGAAAGCGUGGUGGGGAGAUAGGGAAAUAAAGUCUUGGUAAGAAGGCAUGUAAAUGAAGUCGGAACUGUUUCUCUUUGUCUGAGAGGUGACUUGUGUUUUGAAGUUUGUAAUAGUAAGAAGAGAAGGUGGGAGAGGAGAUGACCACCGAAAGGGGGAUAGUAGAGUUUACAGAAGUUCCCUGACCAAGUCAUCGUCCUGGCCAAGUCAUCGCUUAUGGUACUGAGGGAGAUGAAGGAAAACGUUGAAGGGGCGCUGAGGUGACGAUCCACACAAUGGAAGUCCAUCCAUCUCUACUCUCAGUGGGACAGCGAGAAUGCAGUCCCCCACUACCCCGAAUUAUGCAGUCUAGUUUCCUGCAGUUGGGGAAAUCGCAGGGGUCAGCACAUCCAGAGUGCAAUGGAUAAGCCUCGCCCUGGGAAAACCACCUUCGUGAUUAUGGCAUCUCCCCUGCCAGAAGAAGGCACCAGAUCUCAUAACAGAUGGUUGUGAGCCACCAUGUGGUUGCUGGGAACUGAACUCAGGACCUCUGGAAGAGCAGCCGGUGCUCUUAACCUUUGAGCCAU